Molecule: ribosomal RNA, 468 nt
Filed under: uncultured bacterium
Lineage: Bacteria
Description: partial 16S ribosomal RNA
Rfam family: Bacterial small subunit ribosomal RNA
Source: RNAcentral
GACGAACGCUGGCGGCGUGCUUAACACAUGCAAGUCGAACGGAAAGGCCCUGCUUGCGGGUUCCCGAGUGGGGAAACGGGUAGGAAAACGGUGGUUAAUCUGCCCCUAACUUGGGAUUAGCCCGGGAAAACUGGGUCUAUUCCUGAUAGGACCAUGCCGUAGGGGGGGUGGUUGGAAGAAUAGGUUCGGUAAGGGAUGAGGCCGCGGCCUAUCAGCGUGUUGGUGCGGUAAUGGCCUACCAAGGCGUCGACGGGUAGCCGGCCUGAGAGGGUGGACGGCCACAUUGGGACUGAGAUACGGCCCAGACUCCUACGGGAGGCAGCAGUGGGGAAUAUUGCACAAUGGGCGCAAGCCUGAUGCAGCGACGCUGCGUGGGGGAUGACGGCCUUCGGGUUGUAAACUCCUUUCAGCCAUGACGAAGCCCUUGUGGUGACGGUAGUGGUAGAAGAAGCACCGGCUAACUACGUG